RNAcentral lists this long non-coding RNA (397 nucleotides) under Brassica napus (rape). RNAcentral's name for it is "long non-coding RNA (BNAP_LNC026850)". The record is from RNAcentral. Lineage: Eukaryota; Viridiplantae; Streptophyta; Magnoliopsida; Brassicales; Brassicaceae.
AAACUCCUAAUCUAUAUGAUCAUUAUGUACAAAAUAGAAGCUUAAAACAAUGCAAAUAUGCAAGAUAUCAACUCCCCCAAACUUGUUCUUUACUUGUCCUCAAGUGACUUUGCAAGAACUCAUAAGGGAAAGGGGAAAGAGGUUUGAAGGUGGGAACUCAUAGCCAAAAGUAACAUUUCCUAGUACUCAACUUAACAUCCUAAAGAAACAUAGCAAAUAGCAUGACCAACUCUCUUAUUAUACUCUAGCUUCUCUGGGCCUAUCAAUACUCCUUGUGCCUCUACACAAGUUGCAAUACUCAUCAACCAACAAGUUCUUUAAACCAGCUCUCACAUUGAUUCACACACACACACACAUGGUGAGUUCUCACAAAUGAGCACAUGAUCUCAAUCAUUUG